GAGGAAAAGAAGAAGCACCCGCUUCUCACCUGGCUGACGCAAAGAGCAGUUGGCAGGUUUUACUGAAACAGCUUUUAACUUGUCGUUUCGUAAGUGUGGGUGAUUUCAUCCGCACUUUUUUAUAUGU
This is a non-coding RNA of Bacillus sp. NRRL B-14911, 127 nucleotides long. NCBI's taxonomy places the organism in Bacteria, Bacillati, Bacillota, Bacilli, Caryophanales, Bacillaceae. The record is from Rfam.